CCAUCCUCCCUCUAUCCCUCCACCAUCCCUCCAUCCUCCCUCUCUCCAGGCCUCAGCCUCUGAGGGGCCGUGACCAGACCCUCGUUCCGAAUGGAUCCUCACUGCAGAGGAUGAUAUGACGUCACGUCGCCAGGGCGACCGGGCUCCCGGCGGCACGUGUCCUGUAUAAAAGCGGAAGAGAGAGCGGAGCGCUGCGCACACAGACUCCAGAAGCAUCCGAGAGGUAACUCCAUAACCCCAAAACAGCAGCAACCAUGUCAGACCUUUGUGUUGGAAUCAAUGGAUUCGGUCGCAUCGGCCGUCUGGUCCUGAGGGCUUGCCUUCAGAAGGGCAUUAAGGUCGUGGCCAUC
Non-coding RNA from Paralichthys olivaceus (Japanese flounder), 350 nucleotides. Lineage: Eukaryota; Metazoa; Chordata; Actinopteri; Pleuronectiformes; Paralichthyidae. The record is from RefSeq and is a predicted model, not a curated record.